This 345-nucleotide ribosomal RNA is filed under the name Triticum aestivum (bread wheat). RNAcentral describes it as "partial small subunit ribosomal RNA". Lineage: Eukaryota; Viridiplantae; Streptophyta; Magnoliopsida; Poales; Poaceae. The record is from RNAcentral.
AUGCGUCGCCGUCUCCCCUCCAGAUCUGGCCGCCAACGACGCCCUCUACAGCGGUCAAGGUCGAGGGGGCGCGCCAUCCUUCUAGCGUGGUGGGCGACCGGGGGAAGGUCGACAAGGAAUAGGAGCCCAGUGGCACGCCAUGUCUCACAGCCACUAUUGGAUCGGAAGGGGAUGAAAAGGAGAAAGAGGACACCCCUGGUGGCGCAGGCAUCCAACGUCCCGGACAACGUCCUCCGCGACGUCCUUCUCCAUGCCCGAAUCCACUGCUCUUCAAGCUACGUUGCCUGCAACUACAAGGUGAGCCUCUCACAUCCAUUGGCCAACAUUGACGUAUGGCACUUCUGA